AAGUCGUAACAAGGUAACCGUAGGUGAACCUGCGGUUGGAUCAUUAAAAAAUUUUAAAUAAGGUGGUUUUUUUUUUUAAAAUUCCACUUUAUAACAUUUUUGUGCACUGUAAUUGAUUAUCUAGUGGGGGGACAUUAUAAAUAGGCUGAAGAAAAAAAUUUUUGAAGGGUUUUUUUUUUUAAAAAAGGCACUUUAAAAAUUUAUUUUAGGCUGGAGUAUUAUUUAAAUUUAGGCUGGCCUCCAGCGUAAAAUUUUAAUAUAAUACUUUACCCACUAGAAAAAAUAUCUUUAAAAUUUUUAUUUUUUUUAGCCUUUAGAUUAAUAAAAAAAAAGUUUAACUUAAAAAAAUAACUUUUGACAACGGAUCUCUAGGCUCUC
Molecule: unclassified non-coding RNA, 378 nt
Filed under: fungal sp.
Lineage: Eukaryota; Fungi
Description: partial internal transcribed spacer region
Rfam family: Eukaryotic small subunit ribosomal RNA (bases 1-46)
Source: RNAcentral